Molecule: long non-coding RNA, 296 nt
Organism: Acanthochromis polyacanthus (spiny chromis)
Lineage: Eukaryota; Metazoa; Chordata; Actinopteri; Pomacentridae
Exons: 3
Source: RefSeq, a predicted model, not a curated record
GCUCUAAGUUAGGUAAAGUUGCUCCAUAAUAGGUAAAGUUGCUCUAUAUCAAAGUUGCUCCAUAAUAGGUAAAGUUGCUCUAUAUCAAAGUUGCUCCAGAAUAGGUAAAGUUGCUCUAUAUCAAAGUUGCUCCAUAAUAGGUAAAGUUGCUCCAUAAUAGGUAAAGUUGCUCCAUAAUAGGUAAAGUUGCUCUAUAUCAAAGUUGCUCCAGAAUAGGUAAAGCUGCUCUAUAUUAAAGUUGCUCCAUAAUAGGUAAAGUUGCUCUAUAUUAAAGUUGCUCUGUAUUAGAAGAAUAA